AUUGAACGCUGGCGGCAGGCCUAACACAUGCAAGUCGAGCGGAUGAAGGGAGCUUGCUCCUGGAUUCAGCGGCGGACGGGUGAGUAAUGCCUAGGAAUCUGCCUGGUAGUGGGGGAUAACGUCCGGAAACGGGCGCUAAUACCGCAUACGUCCUGAGGGAGAAAGUGGGGGAUCUUCGGACCUCACGCUAUCAGAUGAGCCUAGGUCGGAUUAGCUAGUUGGUGGGGUAAAGGCCUACCAAGGCGACGAUCCGUAACUGGUCUGAGAGGAUGAUCAGUCACACUGGAACUGAGACACGGUCCAGACUCCUACGGGAGGCAGCAGUGGGGAAUAUUGGACAAUGGGCGAAAGCCUGAUCCAGCCAUGCCGCGUGUGUGAAGAAGGUCUUCGGAUUGUAAAGCACUUUAAGUUGGGAAGAAGGACAGUAAGUUAAUACCUUGCUGUUUUGACGUUACCAACAGAAUAAGCACCGGCUAACUUCGUG
RNAcentral lists this ribosomal RNA (484 nucleotides) under uncultured bacterium. Its description in RNAcentral is "partial 16S ribosomal RNA". It matches the Rfam family "Bacterial small subunit ribosomal RNA", at positions 30 to 507 of the family's 1533-position model. The record is from RNAcentral.